UAUUGACAAAGGCAAAUCCAUUGAAAAAUGGUGGCGCAAAACUAUAGGAGCUAACGCGAUUUCGCUAUGCUAGCCAGUUACCGAU
Molecule: non-coding RNA, 85 nt
Filed under: Paenibacillus sp.
Lineage: Bacteria; Bacillati; Bacillota; Bacilli; Caryophanales; Paenibacillaceae
Description: c-di-GMP sequence
Rfam family: c-di-GMP-I riboswitch aptamer
About the family: GEMM was predicted in a large-scale screen for bacterial structured RNA regulatory elements. Genes associated with GEMM are involved in a diverse array of functions, including chemotaxis regulation, signal transduction, secretion and chitin.
Source: RNAcentral